This 253-nucleotide ribosomal RNA is filed under the name uncultured bacterium. RNAcentral describes it as "partial 16S ribosomal RNA". It matches the Rfam family "Bacterial small subunit ribosomal RNA", at positions 524 to 776 of the family's 1533-position model. The record is from RNAcentral.
UACGAAGGGGGCUAGCGUUGCUCGGAAUCACUGGGCGUAAAGGGUGCGUAGGCGGGCAUUUAAGUCAGGGGUGAAAUCCUUGAGCUCAACUCCAGAACUGCCUUUGAUACUGAAGAUCUUGAGUUCGGGAGAGGUGAGUGGAACUGCGAGUGUAGAGGUGAAAUUCGUAGAUAUUAGGAAGAACACCAGUGGCGAAGGCGGCUCACUGGCCCGGUACUGACGCUCAUGUGCGAAAGCGUGGGGAGCAAACAGG